GGGUUGUGAGGUUAAGCGACUAAGCGUACACGGUGGAUGCCCUGGCAGUCAGAGGCGAUGAAGGACGUGCUAAUCUGCGAAAAGCGUCGGUAAGGUGAUAUGAACCGUUAUAACCGGCGAUGUCCGAAUGGGGAAACCCAGUGCAAUUCGUUGCACUAUCGUUAACUGAAUACAUAGGUUAACGAGGCGAACCGGGGGAACUGAAACAUCUAAGUACCCCGAGGAAAAGAAAUCAACCGAGAUUCCCCCAGUAGCGGCGAGCGAACGGGGAGCAGCCCAGAGUCUGAAUCAGCUUGUGUGUUAGUGGAACGGUCUGGAAAGUCCGACGGUACAGGGUGAUAGUCCCGUACACCAAAAUGCACAGGUUGUGAACUCGAAGAGUAGGGCGGGACACGUGGUAUCCUGUCUGAAUAUGGGGGGACCAUCCUCCAAGGCUAAAUACUCCUGACUGACCGAUAGUGAACCAGUACCGUGAGGGAAAGGCGAAAAGAACCCCGGCGAGGGGAGUGAAAAAGAACCUGAAACCGUGUACGUACAAGCAGUGGGAGCACCCUUUAGGGUGUGACUGCGUACCUUUUGUAUAAUGGGUCAGCGACUUAUAUUCUGUAGCAAGGUUAACCGUAUAGGGGAGCCGCAGGGAAACCGAGUCUUAACUGGGCGUUAAGUUGCAGGGUAUAGACCCGAAACCCGGUGAUCUAGCCAUGGGCAGGUUGAAGGUUGGGUAACACUAACUGGAGGACCGAACCGACUAAUGUUGAAAAAUUAGCGGAUGACUUGUGGCUGGGGGUGAAAGGCCAAUCAAACCGGGAGAUAGCUGGUUCUCCCCGAAAGCUAUUUAGGUAGCGCCUCGUGAACUCAUCUUCGGGGGUAGAGCACUGUUUCGGCUAGGGGGUCAUCCCGACUUACCAACCCGAUGCAAACUACGAAUACCGAAGAAUGUUAUCACGGGAGACACACGGCGGGUGCUAACGUCCGUCGUGAAGAGGGAAACAACCCAGACCGCCAGCUAAGGUCCCAAAGUCAUGGUUAAGUGGGAAACGAUGUGGGAAGGCACAGACAGCCAGGAUGUUGGCUUAGAAGCAGCCAUCAUUUAAAGAAAGCGUAAUAGCUCACUGGUCGAGUCGGCCUGCGCGGAAGAUGUAACGGGGCUAAACCAUGCACCGAAGCUGCGGCAGCGACACUAUGUGUUGUUGGGUAGGGGAGCGUUCUGUAAGCCUGCGAAGGUGGCCUGUGAGGGCUGCUGGAGGUAUCAGAAGUGCGAAUGCUGACAUAAGUAACGAUAAAGCGGGUGAAAAGCCCGCUCGCCGGAAGACCAAGGGUUCCUGUCCAACGUUAAUCGGGGCAGGGUGAGUCGACCCCUAAGGCGAGGCCGAAAGGCGUAGUCGAUGGGAAACAGGUUAAUAUUCCUGUACUUGGUGUUACUGCGAAGGGGGGACGGAGAAGGCUAUGUUAGCCGGGCGACGGUUGUCCCGGUUUAAGCAUGUAGGCGGAGGUUCCAGGUAAAUCCGGUACCUUUUAACGCUGAGGUGUGAUGACGAGGCACUACGGUGCUGAAGUAACAAAUGCCCUGCUUCCAGGAAAAGCCUCUAAGCAUCAGGUAACAUUAAAUCGUACCCCAAACCGACACAGGUGGUCAGGUAGAGAAUACCAAGGCGCUUGAGAGAACUCGGGUGAAGGAACUAGGCAAAAUGGUGCCGUAACUUCGGGAGAAGGCACGCUGGUGUGUAGGUGAAGUCCCUGCGGAUGGAGCUGAGACCAGUCGAAGAUACCAGCUGGCUGCAACUGUUUAUUAAAAACACAGCACUGUGCAAACACGAAAGUGGACGUAUACGGUGUGACGCCUGCCCGGUGCCGGAAGGUUAAUUGAUGGGGUUAUCCGUAAGGAGAAGCUCUUGAUCGAAGCCCCGGUAAACGGCGGCCGUAACUAUAACGGUCCUAAGGUAGCGAAAUUCCUUGUCGGGUAAGUUCCGACCUGCACGAAUGGCGUAAUGAUGGCCAGGCUGUCUCCACCCGAGACUCAGUGAAAUUGAACUCGCUGUGAAGAUGCAGUGUACCCGCGGCAAGACGGAAAGACCCCGUGAACCUUUACUAUAGCUUGACACUGAACAUUGAGCCUUGAUGUGUAGGAUAGGUGGGAGGCUUUGAAGCGUGGACGCCAGUCUGCGUGGAGCCAACCUUGAAAUACCACCCUUUAAUGUUUGAUGUUCUAACGUAGACCCCUAAUCGGGGUUGCGGACAGUGUCUGGUGGGUAGUUUGACUGGGGCGGUCUCCUCCCAAAGAGUAACGGAGGAGCACGAAGGUUAGCUAAUCCUGGUCGGACAUCAGGAGGUUAGUGCAAUGGCAUAAGCUAGCUUGACUGCGAGCGUGACGGCGCGAGCAGGUGCGAAAGCAGGUCAUAGUGAUCCGGUGGUUCUGAAUGGAAGGGCCAUCGCUCAACGGAUAAAAGGUACUCCGGGGAUAACAGGCUGAUACCGCCCAAGAGUUCAUAUCGACGGCGGUGUUUGGCACCUCGAUGUCGGCUCAUCACAUCCUGGGGCUGAAGUAGGUCCCAAGGGUAUGGCUGUUCGCCAUUUAAAGUGGUACGCGAGCUGGGUUUAGAACGUCGUGAGACAGUUCGGUCCCUAUCUGCCGUGGGCGCUGGAGAAUUGAGGGGGGCUGCUCCUAGUACGAGAGGACCGGAGUGGACGCAUCACUGGUGUUCGGGUUGUCAUGCCAAUGGCAUUGCCCGGUAGCUAAAUGCGGAAGAGAUAAGUGCUGAAAGCAUCUAAGCACGAAACUUGCCCCGAGAUGAGUUCUCCCUGAGACU
Molecule: ribosomal RNA, 2807 nt
Filed under: Klebsiella sp. D-Nf1
Lineage: Bacteria; Pseudomonadati; Pseudomonadota; Gammaproteobacteria; Enterobacterales; Enterobacteriaceae
Description: bacterial LSU rRNA
Rfam family: Bacterial large subunit ribosomal RNA
Source: RNAcentral